GCAGCCCCGGGGUGAGGUCACGUCGAGUUGCAAAUUCGAAGAAGCACCCCCCAAAGGGUGCCGGGGCUUCUCCCGUUU
RNAcentral lists this transfer RNA (78 nucleotides) under Afroedura sp. multiporus. RNAcentral describes it as "tRNA-Cys". Lineage: Eukaryota; Metazoa; Chordata; Lepidosauria; Squamata; Gekkonidae. The record is from RNAcentral.